CAGCCGCCGCGGGAAUACGAAGGGUGCAAGCGUUAAUCGGAAUUACUGGGCGUAAAGCGUGCGUAGGCGGUGAGUUAAGUCUGCUGUGAAAUCCCCGGGCUCAACCUGGGAAUGGCAGUGGAUACUGGCUCGCUAGAGUGUGUCAGAGGAUGGUGGAAUUCCCGGUGUAGCGGUGAAAUGCGUGGAGAUCGGGAGGAACAUCAGUGGCGAAGGCGGCCAUCUGGGACAACACUGACGCUGAGGCACGAAAGCGUGGGGAGCAAACAGGAUUAGAUACCCCCGUAGUCCCUGUCUCUUAUAU
This 301-nucleotide ribosomal RNA is filed under the name uncultured bacterium. RNAcentral describes it as "partial 16S ribosomal RNA". It matches the Rfam family "Bacterial small subunit ribosomal RNA", at positions 509 to 809 of the family's 1533-position model. The record is from RNAcentral.